Molecule: ribosomal RNA, 253 nt
Filed under: uncultured bacterium
Lineage: Bacteria
Description: partial 16S ribosomal RNA
Rfam family: Bacterial small subunit ribosomal RNA
Source: RNAcentral
GACAGAGGGUGCAAACGUUGUUCGGAAUUACUGGGCGUAAAGCGCGUGUAGGCGGCUUGGCAAGUCGGAUGUGAAAGCCCUGGGCUUAACCCAGGAAGUGCACUCGAAACUGCCGAGCUUGAGUUCUGGAGAGGAAGGCGGAAUUCUCGGUGUAGAGGUGAAAUUCGUAGAUAUCGAGAGGAACACCGGUGGCGAAGGCGGCUUUCUGGACAGUGACUGACGCUGAGACGCGAAAGCGUGGGGAGCAAACAGG